RNAcentral lists this ribosomal RNA (443 nucleotides) under uncultured bacterium. Its description in RNAcentral is "SSU rRNA". It matches the Rfam family "Bacterial small subunit ribosomal RNA", at positions 26 to 518 of the family's 1533-position model. The record is from RNAcentral.
AGAACGAACGCUGGCGGCAGGCUUAACACAUGCAAGUCGAACGCCCCGCAAGGGGAGUGGCAGACGGGUGAGUAACGCGUGGGAACGUGCCCUUCGCUUCGGGAUAGCCUCGGGAAACUGGGAGUAAUACCGAAUACGCCGUAUUGGGAAAGAUUUAUCGGCGAAGGAUCGGCCCGCGUUGGAUUAGCUAGUUGGCGGUGUAAUGGACCACCAAGGCGACGAUCCAUAGCUGGUCUGAGAGGAUGAUCAGCCACACUGGGACUGAGACACGGCCCAGACUCCUACGGGAGGCAGCAGUGGGGAAUCUUGGACAAUGGGCGCAAGCCUGAUCCAGCCAUGCCGCGUGAGUGAAGAAGGCCUUAGGGUUGUAAAACUCUUUCGCCGGUGAAGAUAAUGACGGUAACCGGAGAAGAAGCCCCGGCUAACUUCGCGCCAGCAGCCGC